CAACAACAUUCAUCAAAAUCUAAUAAAGACAACUAACUGUCUGAGAGCACCCUGGGUGUAGGGAAUGGAGCUCGAAUCGAAGCUGGUCGAUUCUCCAUUUAAAAAAUACUUCUUUGAUUCACAUUACAGCUCCUCCUUUUUUGAAAACUAUCCAAACAAUGGAAAAGUUCUGUAAAAGCAAUGACCAAACUCCGCAAACCCGACACAUCUGAAGCUUUCACCGACUCCGCCGCACUCAACUUUAUUGGAUUUCUAGAGAUGUCUGCUCUCUGACUCACCUCACCGUUUGAGGCUGAUUCAAAGCCAAAUGUUGGUGGAAAAUGUGGUGUAGAAAUGCUUCUAGGAAGGGCCGAGAGCACACACGAAUUGAGGACGCGUGUGUGUUCAGUUACCGUGAAAUUAUGAGCACCUUUACAGCACCAACAGCACGACAAACGACAACGUCAACGACAAGCUUAAGCUGCUUAAAACAAGCCAUUUCCCGUGGAGAGCGAAAGGGGUAGCGAAACGUGGUAAGCCAAGUUGAUUUUUGGGGGCAGGGUGGGAAAAGUGAAAGUGUCAAGGAUGCGGCAAGCGUUUCAUAGUCAAAUUAAAUUGCUGCCAGCAAGGUUAUAAAGGGGGGGGGGGGGGGGGGGGGGGGGGGAGGGAAACCCCUGGCCAUGUCUCAUUCGCAGCCACAGUGAAAGGAUAAAGCGAGCAUAAAAACAUUUUUAAUGAAAUCGAGACGACUUCCAACGGAGACAGAGACGACGAAGACGACAACAUCCCUACAGCCAAGACAGCCAUCGUCUAAGACUGUUACAAGUGUGUUUUAAUUUAAACCUUGCCUUUACCUUCCUGAAAAGCAUGGGGGCAUGGCGCAUUAAUUUCAUAUCCCGCUUGCCGCUUGAAAAUUUUAAUUAAUUUUCAGCUUGAUUGCGUUUUAAAGAGCCGCUUGGUUUAUGUAUCGGUAGUUGGGGUAAGGGUAGGGAUCCCAAAAGAGCCUGUGGUUGCCUUGGGCCUGAGAAAUUUAUAGUUAUUGUGGUGGAAAUUGGGGAGGGGGAAGCGUCCCACUAUGGUCCCGCUAUGGACGGACGCGUCCGUCUGUGCCUUGUAGUUAUAGUGGAUAACCCUUUGUUUUGGUUACUUUGUGCUUUGAACAUUUUUCGGUCUUCGGCUCUAAACCAUUCCAGACAAUUUACACUUCUAGUGUACUACUUAAUUAAUUUCGGAUCGGAUUGUAUCUGCGAAAGAAUAGCUACUGGAAGACUCACCUUUAGUGGUAUGCCUGUCCACGAUUGGAUCCUUGAGUCCUGCAAAGACAUAGAGUAAUUCAAAUAAAAGCGGCUUCUCUUCUCUUUUCAGGGAGGGGUUCUGCGCUGUUUGGUCCUAUAAAUCUC
This 1379-nucleotide long non-coding RNA is filed under the name Drosophila guanche. The record is from RNAcentral. Lineage: Eukaryota; Metazoa; Arthropoda; Insecta; Diptera; Drosophilidae.